GCCUUUUUUCGCGUGGCCACCGGCUUCCUCUUCAGAUCUCUCCAAAAGGCUUUCCCGGCAUGACGGACUUCCUGUCCGUUCAUCGCGACCCUCCCCCAGUGCCUUUGGAAAAGGACCUUCCUGCCAUGGCCGACGUCCGGUCCAUCCUUCUCAGUCAUCCCUCCAACUUCCUUGCGCAGCGGCCUUCUCGGCACGGCGGACUUCCUGUCCGUUCACCGUCGCCGACCCCCACUGCCAUUGACAAACGACCUUUCCAUCACGGCUGGCUUCCUGUCCGAAUUUCAUUGUCAUCCCCCUACUUCCUACUACCACGAUAAAGUAAUAUCUCGAUGCUUCUGCGGACCAAGCAGAUAUAGCAACCACAAAAAGAAAUAAACUUUUAACGGCGUUUUAAGGAAGUCUUUGACCAAGGAGCAUUCGGGCGAAUGCUCAACGGAUGGAGAAUGGAGCCGGAAGCCCUGCCGUGUUGCAGUUUGAAGCACCCGUGGGUAUGUGCAGAUAUUAAUCCACUCCGUCGGGAGAAAGAGCGCCUGUUUGGUGGAUAGGAGAGUCUCGGGGCCUCUUGGUAGAGACCCCUACGACCAAGCAACGAUUGCCAAGGAGGAGGUGAAAGAAGAGGAGCCCGAGCCCUUUCAGAAGAUCGGUCCAAGUACGAUUGACCGAGUUUGCAACUUAAGUCAUUCACUAGCUUUCAGCGUUUCAGAGCUGAGGUUUGAGGCCCAAGCCACGGAUGGAGCGUUUCUGGCAAAGGCAGGAAGCUCUCACUAGUCCAACAGAAAGAGCACAUUCUUUGCCCGUGCGGGACCCGGACUCCAUUCCUGUGGGCAUGGCUGGUGACACGUCGGAAAAUCUUCCUCGGAUGUAUGUUUCACCGGAGUUUGUUUAAGGAGCACCGAUAGCAACCGCUAGGUUUUCAAAGGCGUAGCAGGCAGAAUAACUCCCAGGAUGCCCGAAAGCCGCUCGGUAUCAGGUCUGCUCGUCGGUCCAUCCGUCCCACGACUAUCGGCACGGACCGGCUGCAGGGCUCUGAACAUCCGUUCAAGUAGAGGGGUUUUUCCCAGCCCUUCCCUGGAAACGCAGGGGUGAACCUGGACCUUUUGCACGCAAAGCAACAGCUCGAACUCGGACUGCGGCCAUCCGUCAGGAGACAAGCAACCUGCUUGCAAAUAGCACUCCUAAGUAAACCAAAAAGUUAAUCUUCCACGUUUGACAUAGAGAAGAAACAAACACGGUUGAGUCGGGGAAUUAUAAAAUUAUUCUCGCUUAACGUUACAUACUUUUAUAAGCAUCUGGUUAAAACAAUCCAAUUUGGCCAAAGUAUUUAGAUGUAAAUACUUUAUUGCAAAGAGAAGGAAUUAAGCGCACGUUAUUUAUAAUUUAUAAUUUAUAAUUAUAUUCAGACCUAGGAAAAACAUUCCACUUGCAUUUCUCAUGACUUAAUUUUAGAAUUCACAAAGAGCUCUUCAUUAAAGGGGAAGAUAUCGUCUAAGUAUUGUCCUCUGGGAUAAAAAAAAGUACGUUACCAUGUUUUCUUCGGGAAUAGGGUGAAAUUGAGGGUGGGGAGCGAUAUUAAAACUAGAAAUCGAUCACGAUCUGAGAUGAUACCCCUCGUAAGCGCUGAUGAGAGCGCGACUUGGCCUUUGCUGUCUGCGACGGUUUAUACAGCCCACUCCCAAACGCUACUUCUGCAAAAGGAAGUCUAGCCUCUGUAGCAGCCGUGUCUUUUCAGCCUCUCUCCAGGAAAGAGAGCUGGGGCAAAACAGAGGAAACAGUUAACACGAAGGUGGGCGCCCAGGGCCCCCUCGGUCAAGAAAACUUGGAACUCAUCUCACGAGGUCACGUGGGAAACAUCUAGCCUGCUACGCUCUGAAUUGAGAUCCACGUUUGGGUCAAGGGUUUUUGGGAAAACCUUUUCUCCUUCCGAAAAUUGUUUUCUUACUUUGUAGAAACAGGCAACUAUACCUGUAAAUUCUGUGGCAAGCAGUACAAGUACUCCACGCCAUCCCAGGAACACGUGGCCCUUCACGCACCAAUCCGUGAGUAUCCAGCUGUGACACAGCAACCGGGGAGACCCCGGGAUCCAGGAUCUUUCAAGGCAGAGGCCAAUCGCACCUCUAAAGCGAUCACGAGGGAUAGAGCAGUACCGGCAUAUCUCCCUGAUAGCUGUCCUUUGGGGAUAUACUUUGAGAGAAGGAGUUGUUCCUAUUUCAGUGCAAAUAGUCAGGCCAGAUUGCCUAUAAUUGUUAAUACUAUAUUAGACCGUAAAUAAAAUUAUACCUGUAUUUUGCAGUUUACACAUUUUUGUCCAUGUAGAUUUUUCAGCUGGACCCAUCACCUGCUUACGGCUUAUAUAAGAUACCGUAGCUGUUUCUUCUCAGUAAA
Pantherophis guttatus is the source of this 2382-nucleotide non-coding RNA. NCBI's taxonomy places the organism in Eukaryota, Metazoa, Chordata, Lepidosauria, Squamata, Colubridae. The record is from RefSeq and is a predicted model, not a curated record.